RNAcentral lists this ribosomal RNA (387 nucleotides) under Triticum aestivum (bread wheat). RNAcentral describes it as "partial small subunit ribosomal RNA". Lineage: Eukaryota; Viridiplantae; Streptophyta; Magnoliopsida; Poales; Poaceae. The record is from RNAcentral.
AUGCAAGCUCCAUUUCUUCUGCUGCCGUUGUCAGUUUUUUGCUGCUGCUGGCUUGGAGCUCUUCACCUGCUGUCAUUUGAAAAACACCAUCAUCAGGGAAAGAGCAUGCAAGGUGAAGGUUAUAAGGAUCUCAAUAUGACAUCAGCUGCAGGUUGUACCCUCUUCUUAGGCUCCCGUGGCUUUGACUCGGCCUUCUUGAUGCCACCCUUGGCGGCUGCUGGCUUGGUCGCCGUGGCACUGAGCUUCGCAGGCCCCUUGGCGGCACUAACCUUGGUAGGCUCCUUGGCCUGCCCUUCAAGUCCGGUUGGCUUCACGGCCUUCAGGGAUGCCAUUCUUAUAUGCUGCUCUGUUCCGGCACUGGAAGGCUUAGAACUGUCGUGUGCUUGA